GUUAGAAGUUAGCAAUAUCCUUUAACUUUACGUUCCGCUAUACAGAUAAUGUGCUCUCACUAAAUAAUACAACAUUUAGUGACUGUAGAAAAAAAUUAUCCCAUCGAGAGAUAAAGGAUACUAUAGAUACAGUUGUCUGUCUCAUAUCUUGACUUACAUCUAGCAAUUGACAAUGAGGGAAGGUUGAAAACAAAACUAUACGACAAAAGAAAUGAUUUUGAACUUGCCUUUCUAUGUAGCAACAUUCCAGCAGCGCCUGCAUACGGAGUAUAUAUCUCCUAAUUGAUACGAUAUUCCCGGGCUUGUAUUUCCUAACAUGAUUUCCUUGAUAGGGGAUUGCU
Molecule: long non-coding RNA, 341 nt
Filed under: Mytilus galloprovincialis (Mediterranean mussel)
Lineage: Eukaryota; Metazoa; Mollusca; Bivalvia; Mytilida; Mytilidae
Source: RNAcentral